AUCCUUCAGUACAAUGUUGCACAGUCACUGUGAGAAUACCCAUCUGUCCUGAACUUAGGGAAAAGCAAAGAAUACA
This 76-nucleotide long non-coding RNA is filed under the name Pan troglodytes (chimpanzee). RNAcentral's name for it is "lincRNA". Lineage: Eukaryota; Metazoa; Chordata; Mammalia; Primates; Hominidae. The record is from RNAcentral.